RNAcentral lists this ribosomal RNA (77 nucleotides) under Pezicula corylina. RNAcentral's name for it is "partial 18S ribosomal RNA". It matches the Rfam family "Eukaryotic small subunit ribosomal RNA", at positions 1751 to 1827 of the family's 1831-position model. The record is from RNAcentral. Lineage: Eukaryota; Fungi; Ascomycota; Leotiomycetes; Helotiales; Dermateaceae.
AAAGUUGUCCAAACUUGGUCAUUUAGAGGAAGUAAAAGUCGUAACAAGGUCUCCGUAGGUGAACCUGCGGAGGGAUC